RNAcentral lists this long non-coding RNA (404 nucleotides) under Crocodylus porosus (Australian saltwater crocodile). RNAcentral's name for it is "lncRNA (ENSCPRG00005004966.1)". Lineage: Eukaryota; Metazoa; Chordata; Crocodylia; Crocodylidae. The record is from RNAcentral.
UUGAUGGGCAGCAGUCCUUUGUUACUGGAUGAUACAUUAUUCUUUAUCCUCUGGACAUUUCAGAAACAAUGUUGUCAUAACUGUGAGCUGAUCAAGUUGUUGGAAGGCACGAGCAAGCCAAAUUUACAAACAAGCCAAACAAAACAUGAUCUAGAACAUCCUACAGCCAGGAGAAGGGUGAAAAGAGGACUUUCCGUACUGAAGAAGGAUGACAGGGAUGGGGAAGGAAUAUGAGGUGCAAAAGAAUGAGAUCGGGAAUUCAGUGCAUCCCUUGCACCUUUUCAGGAUAGUUUGCUGCAUUCCCCUAGUCUGUUGGAUGUACUAUUGUUGUAUUUACUUGUCAGCCUGUUUUUUUGUGGAUUCCCACAUUCUGGUUCAUUGAUGCCGAUUUAGGCAUACCAACA